RNAcentral lists this ribosomal RNA (119 nucleotides) under Dichanthelium oligosanthes. Lineage: Eukaryota; Viridiplantae; Streptophyta; Magnoliopsida; Poales; Poaceae. The record is from RNAcentral.
GGAUGCGAUCGUACUAAUAUUAAAGCACCCGAUCGCAUCAGAACUCUAAAGUUAAGCAUGCUUGGGAGAGAGUAGUAAUAGGAUGGGUGACCUCCUGUGAAGUCCUCAUGUUGCAUUCU